This 1353-nucleotide ribosomal RNA is filed under the name Triticum aestivum (bread wheat). Its description in RNAcentral is "partial small subunit ribosomal RNA". Lineage: Eukaryota; Viridiplantae; Streptophyta; Magnoliopsida; Poales; Poaceae. The record is from RNAcentral.
AUGGUGCUGGAUCUCAAUGUCGAGUCGCCGGCGGACUCCGGCACGUCCAGCUCGUCCGUGCUCAACUCCGCGGACGCCGGCGGCGGCGGCGGCUUCAGGUUCGGCCUGCUCGGGAGCCCCGAUGAUGACGACUGCUCCGGCGAGCCGGCGCCGGUCGGGUCCGGGUUCGUGACGAGGCAGCUCUUCCCCGCGUCGCCGCCCGGUCACGCGGGCGCGCCCGGGAUGAUGACGGGGCAGCUGGCACCGGCGCCGCCGAUGGCCCCCGUGUGGCAGCCGCGGCGCGCCGAGGAGCUCGUGAUGGCGCAGCGGGUGGCGCCCGCGAAGAAGACGCGGCGGGGGCCGAGGUCGCGGAGCUCGCAGUACAGGGGCGUCACCUUCUACCGCAGGACCGGCCGGUGGGAGUCGCACAUCUGGGACUGCGGGAAGCAGGUCUACUUAGGUGGUUUCGACACUGCGCACGCGGCCGCAAGGGCCUACGAUCGCGCGGCGAUCAAGUUCCGGGGGCUGGAGGCCGACAUCAACUUCAAUCUGAGCGAUUAUGAGGAGGAUUUGAAGCAGAUGAGGAACUGGACCAAGGAGGAGUUCGUGCACAUCCUCCGCCGCCAGAGCACGGGGUUCGCCAGGGGGAGCUCCAAGUACCGCGGCGUCACGCUCCACAAGUGCGGCCGCUGGGAGGCAAGGAUGGGCCAGCUGCUCGGCAAGAAGUACAUAUAUCUUGGCCUCUUUGACAGCGAAGUUGAAGCUGCAAGGGCGUACGACAGGGCGGCGAUUCGCUUCAAUGGGAGGGAAGCUGUGACUAACUUUGAGAGCAGCUCCUACAAUGGGGAUGCUCCACCCGACGCCGAAAAUGAGGCAAUUGUUGAUGCUGAUGCUCUUGACUUGGAUCUACGGAUGUCGCAACCUACCGCGCACGAUCCCAAGCGGGACAACAUCAUCGCCGGCCUUCAGUUAACUUUUGAUUCCCCUGAAUCGUCAACCACAAUGCUCUCUUCUCAGCCAAUGAGCUCAUCUUCUUCCCAGUGGCCUGUGCAUCAACAUGGCACGGCAGUAGCACCUCAGCAGCACCAGCGUUUGUACCCAUCUGCUUGUCAUGGCUUCUACCCGAACGUACAGGUGCAGGUGCAGGUGCAGGAGAGGCCCAUGGAGCCAAGGCCCCCUGAGCCGCCGUCGUGCUUCCCCAGCUGGGGGUGGCAAGCGCAAGCCAUGCCGCCGGGCUCCUCCCACUCGCCGUUGCUUUACGCUGCAGCAUCAUCAGGAUUCUCUACCGCCGCCGGCGCGCACCCCGCCCCGCCGCCGCCGCCGUCGUACCCGGAUCACCACCGGUUCUACUUCCCCCGCCCGCCGGACAACUAG